Molecule: ribosomal RNA, 113 nt
Filed under: Paramormyrops kingsleyae
Lineage: Eukaryota; Metazoa; Chordata; Actinopteri; Osteoglossiformes; Mormyridae
Source: RNAcentral
GUAUGCAGCCAUACCACCUGCAGUUCAUACUAUGUAAUCCACCUGAAACUAAGCAGGUUUGGGUCUGGCCAGUACUUGGAUGGGUGACUAGUAAAGCUGGGCUGCUGCUGGAA